CAGAGGCGCCAUUGGGAUACUUCAUAUUGUCGGAAGGGCAGAUCACAGUGCACUACUGUUGCAAAUGAGCCUUUAAAUCUUUUCAACAUGUUCAAGGGGCUUGCAGCAUUGAAUGCAAGAGCAACUUCUUUGAACCUUCUGCAUGAUGAUGUGGAAAUGCUAGGGUACGCUGAGCAGGAGAUGCAGCUCAAGAGGGAUAUGUUGUCAUCUCUCCUAUGGAAAUACAAGCAUACAAGCUGGAGUUGCGGCCACACCAGUGAGCACAAAAUGUUUUUACUUUGGGUAUUGUAUCUUUGUGGAUAAUGAUGGUAUGGGUUAGUGGCAAAGCAACAGUGAUUUUUUAUAUACCAUUGUCAUUUGUCAACAUAACCCGAGCUUAAACUUCAAGAAUAAUUGACUGUCUGAUGCUAUCUCAUGCAAUAUCUGACCAAGUCAAGGACAUAGCAGAGGCUGACUCUUUAUGGAGGAUUCAAGACUUCAUUUUUGAGUACUAUAGAAGGUAUUGGUACAUAUUUUGUAUACAAGUACUGUUAUUACGUGAAGGAGGUUAUAUUAUGGGAAACUGCUGUUUUCCAGCAAGAAGCAUAGAUUAUCAACCUUUGAUGAUAUUUGAAUUUUGCCCCAUUUUGCUGGUAGCAUGGGUUCAUGGUAAUAUAUUUUUGGAGAGGAAUAUUUUUCCAGGUAAUAUGAAGUGAUUAGGUGCUGAGAGUAACCCUUAA
This 719-nucleotide unclassified non-coding RNA is filed under the name Hevea brasiliensis (rubber tree). Lineage: Eukaryota; Viridiplantae; Streptophyta; Magnoliopsida; Malpighiales; Euphorbiaceae. The record is from RNAcentral.